This 370-nucleotide ribosomal RNA is filed under the name uncultured organism. RNAcentral's name for it is "bacterial SSU rRNA". It matches the Rfam family "Bacterial small subunit ribosomal RNA", at positions 526 to 896 of the family's 1533-position model. The record is from RNAcentral.
CGUAGGGUGCGAGCGUUAAUCGGAAUUACUGGGCGUAAAGCGUGCGCAGGCGGUUUUGUAAGACAGAUGUGAAAUCCCCGGGCUCAACCUGGGACCUGCAUUUGUGACUGCAAGGCUAGAGUACGGUAGAGGGGGAUGGAAUUCCGCGUGUAGCAGUGAAAUGCGUAGAUAUGCGGAGGAACACCGAUGGCGAAGGCAACCCCCUGGACCUGUACUGACGCUCAUGCACGAAAGCGUGGGGAGCAAACAGGAUUAGAUACCCUGGUAGUCCACGCCCUAAACGAUGUCAACUGGUUGUUGGGUCUUUACUGACUCAGUAACGAAGCUAACGCGUGAAGUUGACCGCCUGGGGAGUACGGCCGCAAGGUUG